CAAGAGUGUGAGCAAGAAGAUCAAUAAAAAUUAUCACUAAGCAUCCUCCCUCCCUGGGCUUCGGGUUCCAGAAAACAACCCUUGUCCCCCAGCCCCAACUACCUAUCUGUGAAUAUACAGCAAGUGCCCCCUUGGCCUAAUUAACUAACCUCUCUGAGCCCCUGUUCUUUCUUUCCUCCAAUUAUAAAGGCCAUAAAUGCUCAUUACAGAAAAAUUGAAAACUACAGGAAAAUAGAAGGAAGAAAAGGUCACCUGCCUUAUUUAACACACAUAUUUUCUCUAUAAGGUACAUCGCAGCCUUACUAUCUGAGCGUCAUCACUGUUAACACUUUCGAGUUUUCCUUCUGGCCUUCGUUCCAUGCCUACACUUUUUCACAUAUGUAAGGAAAGACCACCUUCUUCCCAGCAAGAAACAGUAUUGGUCAUCUUGGGAGCUUCUGCUGCUGGUGGCCUAGAGAGCCAGAUGAAGGAGUAGAGAAAUGGCAGCUGACUGCAGGAUGGUACAAGAAGGGGAGGAGAGGAGAGUGUGGGAGCUGAACCAAGAAGGCAGAGUAUCCCCUUGUUCACCUCAUCUGGAAAUGUGCACAUUGGAGAACUCAGUUUUUUACCACUCUGAGCAUGUCUGGGAAUGACCAUGAAGAUUACUUUUGGAG
This 653-nucleotide long non-coding RNA is filed under the name Homo sapiens (human). RNAcentral's name for it is "HSALNT0305571". The record is from RNAcentral. Lineage: Eukaryota; Metazoa; Chordata; Mammalia; Primates; Hominidae.